AGUGAACGCUGGCGGCAGGCCUAAUACAUGCAAGUCGAACGGCAGCACAGCAGAGCUUGCUCUGUGGGUGGCGAGUGGCGGACGGGUGAGGAAUACAUGGGAAUCUGCCCAGUCGUGGGGGAUAACGUAGGGAAACUUACGCUAAUACCGCAUGCGCCCUUCGGGGGAAAGCCGGGGACCUUCGGGCCUGGCGCGAUUGGAUGAGCCCAUGUCGGAUUAGCUAGUUGGCGGGUAAUGGCCCACCAAGGCGACGAUCCGUAGCUGGUCUGAGAGGAUGAUCAGCCACACUGGAACUGAGACACGGUCCAGACUCCUACGGGAGGCAGCAGUAGGGAAGUAUUGGACAAUGGGCGGCAAGCCUGAUCCAGCCAUGCCGCGUGAGUGAAGAAGGCCCUCGGGUUGUAAAGCUCUUUUGUCCCGGAAAGAAAAGACGCCGGGUUAAUACCUCGGUGUCCUGACGGUACCGGAAGAAUAAGCACCGGCUAACUUCGUGCCAGCAGCCGCGGUAA
RNAcentral lists this ribosomal RNA (509 nucleotides) under uncultured bacterium. RNAcentral describes it as "bacterial SSU rRNA". It matches the Rfam family "Bacterial small subunit ribosomal RNA", at positions 29 to 523 of the family's 1533-position model. The record is from RNAcentral.